This is a long non-coding RNA of Anolis carolinensis (green anole), 1663 nucleotides long. RefSeq annotates it as partitioning defective 6 homolog gamma. The record is from RefSeq and is a predicted model, not a curated record. NCBI's taxonomy places the organism in Eukaryota, Metazoa, Chordata, Lepidosauria, Squamata, Anolidae. The transcript is spliced from 4 exons.
GAGGAGGUGGGCGUGGCUUCGGCGGGCCCCCGCCUCCCCCUUGAGUCAGAGACGCGCGGCCGCGGGCGGGCAGGUAGACAGGCAAGCGGGCUGCCUGGGAAGCGAGGGCGAACAGAAUGGCGGAGAGGCAGGCGGGCGCGAUGAUUGGCGGGCGGAGACAAAGUGGCCGAAUCUUGGGAGCCUGGACGCUCGGAGGAGUGGCUGGGCAGCAACGGCCGCAGCGAGCCCGAGGCGCCGUUGUUUCAGAGCGAGGAGUUCGGAGGUUUUUUUUGGCGCGAGGAGAGCGAGUUGGCGGCGUUGGAGAAGGUCGGAGCCCUUUCGGAGCGAGGAGAGCGAGUUGGCGGCGAGAUGGCGGCGUCGGAGGUGUUGGAGGGGGAGGACGGCUCAGGGAAGAUGAGUCGGAGCGUUAGCCCGUCCCCGAGCCAGGAGAGUUUGGGCUUCGAGCCCUUGGAAGUCAAAAGCAAGUUUGGUGCUGAAUUUCGAAGAUUUGUCAUUCAUCGCUAUAAGCUACCAAGCUUUGAAGACUUCGUCAGACUUAUUCUUGAUGUUCUCAAUAUAGUCAACCUGAAAGUAAAGCUUAGAUAUGCAGAUUACCAUGGGCAUCUUUAUGAUAUUCACAGCUGCUUUAAGGCUUAUCUAUCAGCAGACCCAACACUUAGAAUUUUUGUACAACCACAAGUUUGGUGCUGAAUUUCGAUGAUUUGUCAUUCAUCGCUAUAAGCUACCAAGCUUUGAAGACUUCGUCAAACUUAUUCUUGAUGUUCACAAUAUAGUCAACCUGAAAGUAAGCUUAGAUAUGCAGAUUACCAUGGGCGUCUACGUCCUCUUUAUGAUAUUCACAGCUGCUUUAAGGCUUAUUUAUCAGCAGAUCCAACACUCAGAAUUUUUGUACUACCACAAGGUCCAAAGAGAAACUCAGGACACCAGGAGCAGAGGCAGAGGUCUUUGAGUAAAGAUGGCCAGCAAGGAAGCAAGUCCAGCGACUCCGGAGAAGAAGCAGACAAAGAGUUUAUUUUUGUUUAGUUGAUUCAUCAUCUCUUUGGCAGUGCAAAAUCUGUUCUAACAAUAAGAAUUUGUAUAAAUAAUAUAUAUUAGAUGCUUGCAUAUGAUUUUUACAUUCACCCUUGGGAGACCUUUUUCUUGUUUGUUGUACUGUAUAUAAAAACACAACCUCUUACAUUUGUGUACUGUUCAAAGAAAAGCGAAUUACUAAACCUUUGCUAUGCUUCCACUUCCAUAAGUUAUAUGUAUGUUGUUGUUUUUUUAUAUCAUAUUUAUUGAGUCACUUUCAGAAUUAUAUAAAAGGUAGUUAAGGAAAAGAGGGAGGAUGACAGGAUAGUUGGGGAGGGUUAAGAUAUGAAUUACUUAUCCUUUGCUAUGCUUCCACUUCCAUAGGUUAUAUGUAUGUUGUUGACUGGAAUGACAGCAAUGUACACCUUAUUGGUAUUGGUAUUUUCUAGAGGCUGCCUUAGAGUGUCUCUCUGCAUCCUUUCUAACUUUUAACUUGUUCUUCUUAAACAAAAAGGUAGUUUUUUUUUGUCUGUAAAAGCAAUUUUGCUUUUCCCCUGUUUGCAUAUUUACAGUCAUCUGCUUACAAUACAGGCUGAAUGAGUUUUAUUCAUAAUGUAUAUUUGUACCAAUAAAAAUGAUUUUACAACUGGAA